Molecule: long non-coding RNA, 559 nt
Filed under: Mytilus galloprovincialis (Mediterranean mussel)
Lineage: Eukaryota; Metazoa; Mollusca; Bivalvia; Mytilida; Mytilidae
Source: RNAcentral
UCGAUGUGGAGAAUCUCUUAGUUUGGCCAGCCGGCAAUAGUUCAGUUCGAAUUCGUUGUAUCUUGGAUUCCAUAUCCCCCCUUUGAACCCUCUACUGACAAACUCGUACGGGUCUAGGGUAUAAGUGCUAUGGGCCAUUUUAAAGGCAAUAAGUACCUCUUCCUCUGGUAUCAUUGCCCACGUGGAGAAUCUCUUCGUUUGGCCAGCCGGCAAUAGUUCAUUUUCGAAUUUGUGAUAUACCAGGGUACCCCCCUUAUCCUUUUCUGACUAACUCGUACGGGUCUAGGGCAUAAGUGCUAUGGGCCAUUUUAGAGGCAAUACCAACCUCUACCUCUGGUAUAAUGGUCGAUGUGGAGAAUCUCUUAGUUUGGCCAGCCGGCAAUAGUUCAUUUUCGAAUUUGUGAUAUACCAGGGUACCCCCCCUUAUCCUUUUCUGACUAACUCGUACGGGUCUAGGGCAUAAGUGCUAUGGGCCAUUUUAGAGGCAAUACCAACCUCUACCUCUGGUAUAAUGGUCGAUGUGGAGAAUCUCUUAGUUUGGCCAGCCGGCAAUAGUUCA